GACAGAUUUAAAAGAACCUUAGGACAGAGGGCAGGACACCAUUGCAGAUGUAUAUGCCAAGACUCUCAGUGGUUUGUGCAAUUUUCCCUGCUAGAAGAACAUCUCGAACUCUACUGGAAAUGUUACAUUUGCUUUGUCAGUCGAAGAAAGAGCUUCACUUUGCAAGUUUGUAUCCAAUGUUUAAAUGCUGGUUUCAGGAAGAAGCAGCCCGGUGACAGUCUGAGAGUCUGGCCACUGGCCACAAGUUGUCCAUGGAAAGCAGCUGGCCCUGGGGAGAGGUUUCAUCUUGCCCUGAGCCUCACCCUCAGCUGGGCAGCUGGCGCAGAACAGGUGUUUCCCAUGACAUACCUGUCGGACUCAAGUUCGAACCCAGGGUUGUAACUCUCCCCUGUGAGGGCAGCACUCAGGAGGCUGAGAAGGGAGAAAGCUGUGCGUCUGAAUCCAGUCAAGUCCUCCCUAAAUGGCAUUAUUGUGAUUCACUCAUCUACUACACACUUUCUUCUGUUGAUCUUUUAAAACUCUUGUCUGUUUAUAAUUUGCUUAUAAUCA
Non-coding RNA from Rattus norvegicus (Norway rat), 549 nucleotides. The record is from RefSeq and is a predicted model, not a curated record. Lineage: Eukaryota; Metazoa; Chordata; Mammalia; Rodentia; Muridae.